GCGGAAGGAUCAUUAUUGUAUAACACGAGACAUUGAGGCUGUCGCUGACGAAAGUCGUGCACGCCUUGGUGUUCUUACCUCCAUUUCACCCUUGUGCAUCAUCGCGUGGGCCGUUCCCAUUGGGAAUGGUCUACGUUUUUAAUACAAACCCCUAUUGAUGUGUAGAAUGUGUACUUUGCGAUAACAACGCAACUAAUACAACUUUCAACAACGGAUCUCUUGGCUCUCGCAUCGAUGAAGAACGCAGCGAAAUGCGAUACGUAAUGUGAAUUGCAGAAUUCAGUGAAUCAUCGAAUCUUUGAACGCACCUUGCGCCUCUUUGGUAUUCCGAGGGGCACGCCCGUUUGAGUGUCCGUGAAANUUCUCACACCCCNCUUGGUUUUUCUUUUGAAGGCUAAGAGGGCUUUGGACUUGGAGGUUCUUGCUGGGCAGCACUUUGCGAUCAGCUCCUUCUUAAAUGCAUAGCGAGGGUUCUCUUUGCUGACCUUGGCGUGA
Molecule: ribosomal RNA, 495 nt
Filed under: uncultured fungus
Lineage: Eukaryota; Fungi
Description: eukaryotic LSU rRNA
Rfam family: 5.8S ribosomal RNA (bases 200-354)
Source: RNAcentral